AAGUUUUACUCUAACAAUCACCGUUGCAACAAGUCCGCCACAGGUGGCUACCUAUGCCAAAGCCAUCAAAGUCACCGUUGAUGGACCGAGGGAGCCACGUUCUAAGACAAGUCCUCCCGGCACUCAUCAAUUUCGAGGUUUGAGCUUGGGCUUUCCAAAUAAUUUUCGUGAAUUCGAUCCAUUACGCACACCAAAGGCUCCGACAGCUUCCAGUACGAGGUUAUCGCAAUUAAGCAGCAAUCACUCAUCGUCGAAUAGUACAAUAAAUGCUGAUUACCAAGACUAUAAACCAAAUGCACCGCAGAUACAAG
Long non-coding RNA from Teleopsis dalmanni, 311 nucleotides. RefSeq lists it as uncharacterized. The record is from RefSeq and is a predicted model, not a curated record. NCBI's taxonomy places the organism in Eukaryota, Metazoa, Arthropoda, Insecta, Diptera, Diopsidae. The transcript has 2 exons.